GUGGUUUAAUUCGAAGCAACGCGAAGAACCUUACCAGGUCUUGACAUCCCGAUGCUAUUUCUAGAGAUAGAAAGUUACUUCGGUACAUCGGUGACAGGUGGUGCAUGGUUGUCGUCAGCUCGUGUCGUGAGAUGUUGGGUUAAGUCCCGCAACGAGCGCAACCCCUAUUGUUAGUUGCCAUCAUUCAGUUGGGCACUCUAGCGAGACUGCCGGUAAUAAACCGGAGGAAGGUGGGGAUGACGUCAAAUCAUCAUGCCCCUUAUGACCUGGGCUACACACGUGCUACAAUGGUUGGUACAACGAGUUGCGAGUCGGUGACGGCGAGCUAAUCUCUUAAAGCCAAUCUCAGUUCGGAUUGUAGGCUGCAACUCGCCUACAUGAAGUCGGAAUCGCUAGUAAUCGCGGAUCAGCACGCCGCGGUGAAUAUGUCCCUGCUCCUU
Molecule: ribosomal RNA, 440 nt
Filed under: uncultured Streptococcus sp.
Lineage: Bacteria; Bacillati; Bacillota; Bacilli; Lactobacillales; Streptococcaceae
Description: bacterial SSU rRNA
Rfam family: Bacterial small subunit ribosomal RNA
Source: RNAcentral